Molecule: long non-coding RNA, 531 nt
Filed under: Fukomys damarensis (Damara mole-rat)
Lineage: Eukaryota; Metazoa; Chordata; Mammalia; Rodentia; Bathyergidae
Description: lncRNA (ENSFDAG00000030291.1)
Source: RNAcentral
UUUCAGUGGCUUUGAAACAAAUGUCCAACCACAUUUCUUGAUUUUCCUGCACAGAUGCCAGAAAGCCAUUGGAAAAGAAAUUGAACCCGUCAGUAUGAAAGUGAUUCAUUUGUAUUCACUGCCUCCCUGAGUUUGUGGACUUUGCAGUAAGCACCAAGGAAGGAGCACCAUGGAGGAAGAUAGAGAAGAACAGAGAAAUGCGAAUCCAUGCAUUGUGACAUGCCUUGAGAGACAUGGUGGAGAAGGAAAGUCCCACAAUCCUGAAGUUCUUGAGUGUUGGGCUCUUAUCGUAUCACACACCGCAUUGAAGAUCUUGAGGUGCUUCCACCACUGCUCACGUGGGUCCAUUCUUCAUGUGAUUCACACCCGCUGAUCCUUCUACUCAAUAACCACCAUGAUGGGGCCUGCAAUACCUCUUAGACCGUGUAAGCAACCUCUAGAACCCUGCACCUUACAUCUUUCUAUUAAUCUUCUUUUGAUCUCAGGAACAUCCCCCCCCCACCAUUUCAUUUUGAACAUCAAGAGGAAGAG